Molecule: long non-coding RNA, 1172 nt
Filed under: Homo sapiens (human)
Lineage: Eukaryota; Metazoa; Chordata; Mammalia; Primates; Hominidae
Description: long non-coding RNA NONHSAT175784.1
Source: RNAcentral
CAGAGUUCCCGACUAGGCCUGUCUGGUGUGGGGCCCAAGAAUGCAUUUCUGAAACAGUCCAGGUCUGCCAAGAGCCUCCGGUGCAGCCGCGGCGAGUCCUUUGCACAUGUUGGCAACACACGCAUCCGCAUCGGCCUCCCUGCCCACAAAGCGCCACAACGGUGACCAGCCGGAGCAGCCGGAGCUGAAGCGGAUCAAGACAGAAGACGGCGAGGGCAUCGUCAUUGCCCUGAGCGUGGACACGCCACCGGCAGCCGUAAGGGAAAAGGGUGUCCAGAACUAGCGACCGGGAGAGCUUUUCUUUAACGAUAUCAACUCUGUGGUGCCAAAAGGAGACGCGGCCUCCCGCCAGCACUCGGGGGUGCAGGGCCCUGUGGUUGGACUUCACCUCUCAGCACUGAAAACCCAAAACCCAGCUGGCCUUAACACUCCUUAAAGACAGAAGUCACACUUGAACAAAACCCACACACAACAAAACCUGAUUUGGGAGACGGUGUCUCCACUGAGCACCUGCUGGGCUGAGCUUCUACCUACGAGUGAAACUCUGUCCUCCCGCGAGGACCAGGCAUCGCUGUGUGAGGACGGCACGGCCAGCGCCUGCUGUGAGUGGGUCUCCCAAGACUAGGCCUCAGGACGCGGGGGGAGCCAUCCCCGCCGCCCUCACAGGACCCACCAGGCAGCGGAGACAUGUGGAAUUAGAGUAUUUUGAGGUGUCCUUUCUUUACAAAAUAAUGGGGUCUUGGGCAUUUCACAUCACUCCAUUUCUACUGAGACUUUCAGAAUCACACAGGCCCUUUCCGUGGAUUUCAUUUGGGGCAAAGAAACAACGUAGUUUUGUUUUUGUUUUCAGCCUAUGGAAUGAUUUCCUUUUGUCUGUCUUGUUCAAGUUCAGACGAAGCUACUCUGGCAUCUGCACAUUUCCGUGUUACAGCAGCUGCCUGAUGAAUUUUAUCCACCUCCAUUUCAGCAUGUGGCUCGCGUGGACAGGUGGACGGACGCUGUGGCCGCAUGGAACCUUGAGAACCCAGGGACGAGCCAGUGCCGGGAAGGAACUGCCGGGACUCACCGAGCUGCACUUAACUGUUCUCUUUCUGGCUAUUUUUUGUUGUUUGUUUCUUUGUGUUGACUUUGUCCCUGGCAAAAUUUUCCACUCUGAGUAAAACAAGUCUCCU